CGAACGGGUGAGUAACGCGUGAGGAACCUGCCUCAAAGAGGGGGACAACAGUUGGAAACGACUGCUAAUACCGCAUAAGCCCACGGCUCGGCAUCGAGCAGAGGGAAAAGGAGUGAUCCACUUUGAGAUGGCCUCGCGUCCGAUUAGCUAGUUGGUGAGGUAACGGCCCACCAAGGCGACGAUCGGUAGCCGGACUGAGAGGUUGAACGGCCACAUUGGGACUGAGACACGGCCCAG
Molecule: ribosomal RNA, 237 nt
Filed under: uncultured bacterium
Lineage: Bacteria
Description: partial 16S ribosomal RNA
Rfam family: Bacterial small subunit ribosomal RNA
Source: RNAcentral